CUCCAUAUACCCUUCUCACAACCAUACCUUUCCUCACUCUGUUACCAAGAGUAGAGAUAUUGGAAGGAGCUCGGAAAAUACCACUCCAGUAGAAAUCCCUGCUCACGAUACUAAGCACUGGCGUUUUUGGCUAACUCAGCCAAUCAGCACAAGUCCAGAGACAGUGGCAGAACUGUGCAAAAAGUAAAGUGGUCUUGAUUUGAAAAGCCAGAAGAGCAGUGUGUGUAAGGCUGGAGUCAGAUUGGAGUCAGGCUGGAGUCAGGCUGGAGUCAGGCUGGAGUCAGGCUGGAGUCAGGCUGGAGUCAGGCCGGAGUCAGACAGUAGUAGCUCUUCAGGUUACUACAGAUUUAUACACACAAGUAAUACAAAUCUAUUCUUUAAAAAGACAAGGACUGAAGUAGGACAUCUCAAUUACUGAAGUAGCCAAUGAAUUAGCUAAUUUAAAAUCAGGUCAAAAUAUGAGUAUAAUAUACAUUUAAAAUUCUGCAAUUUUGUAUAGUUAUUGUUAUUGAGAGAGAAUGGUAACUGGGUAGGGCUCAAGAAAACCCAGUUACUACACAAUGCACAGUGGUUGGGUGGGGCUGUAGGAAACCCAUUACUACAGAAUGUACGGAGGGUGGGUGAGGGUGUGUGUGUGAAUCACAG
Long non-coding RNA from Oncorhynchus tshawytscha (Chinook salmon), 645 nucleotides. The record is from Ensembl. NCBI's taxonomy places the organism in Eukaryota, Metazoa, Chordata, Actinopteri, Salmoniformes, Salmonidae.